This 463-nucleotide ribosomal RNA is filed under the name uncultured bacterium. RNAcentral describes it as "partial 16S ribosomal RNA". It matches the Rfam family "Bacterial small subunit ribosomal RNA", at positions 28 to 507 of the family's 1533-position model. The record is from RNAcentral.
GACGAACGCUGGCGGCGUGCUUAACACAUGCAAGUCGAACGGUGAACCUCUUCGGAGGGGAUCAGUGGCGAACGGGUGAGUAACACGUGGGCAACCUGCCCCCGGCUCUGGGAUAACUCCAAGAAAUUGGGGCUAAUACCGGAUGUUCACCGCUUCCCGCAUGGGUGGUGGUGGAAAGGGUUUCCGGCUGGGGAUGGGCCCGCGGCCUAUCAGCUUGUUGGUGGGGUAGUGGCCUACCAAGGCGACGACGGGUAGCCGGCCUGAGAGGGUGACCGGCCACACUGGGACUGAGACACGGCCCAGACUCCUACGGGAGGCAGCAGUGGGGAAUAUUGCGCAAUGGGCGGAAGCCUGACGCAGCGACGCCGCGUGGGGGAUGACGGCCUUCGGGUUGUAAACCUCUAUCAGCAGGGACGAAGCGCAAGUGACGGUACCUGCAGAAGAAGCACCGGCCAACUACGUG